RNAcentral lists this ribosomal RNA (490 nucleotides) under uncultured bacterium. RNAcentral's name for it is "partial 16S ribosomal RNA". It matches the Rfam family "Bacterial small subunit ribosomal RNA", at positions 30 to 507 of the family's 1533-position model. The record is from RNAcentral.
AUUGAACGCUGGCGGCAGGCCUAACACAUGCAAGUCGAACGGUAACAGGAAGCAGCUUGCUGCUUUGCUGACGAGUGGCGGACGGGUGAGUAAUGUCUGGGAAACUGCCUGAUGGAGGGGGAUAACUACUGGAAACGGUAGCUAAUACCGCAUAACGUCGCAAGACCAAAGAGGGGGACCUUCGGGCCUCUUGCCAUCGGAUGUGCCCAGAUGGGAUUAGCUAGUAGGUGGGGUAAAGGCUCACCUAGGCGACGAUCCCUAGCUGGUCUGAGAGGAUGACCAGCCACACUGGAACUGAGACACGGUCCAGACUCCUACGGGAGGCAGCAGUGGGGAAUAUUGCACAAUGGGCGCAAGCCUGAUGCAGCCAUGCCGCGUGUAUGAAGAAGGCCUUCGGGUUGUAAAGUACUUUCAGCGGGGAGGAAGGGAGUAAAGUUAAUACCUUUGCUCAUUGACGCUACCCGCAGAAGAAGCACCGGCUAACUCCGUG